This 213-nucleotide ribosomal RNA is filed under the name Pedobacter kyonggii. RNAcentral describes it as "partial 16S ribosomal RNA". It matches the Rfam family "Bacterial small subunit ribosomal RNA", at positions 1319 to 1533 of the family's 1533-position model. The record is from RNAcentral. Lineage: Bacteria; Pseudomonadati; Bacteroidota; Sphingobacteriia; Sphingobacteriales; Sphingobacteriaceae.
CAUGAAGUUGGAUUCGCUAGUAAUCGCGUAUCAGCAAUGACGCGGUGAAUACGUUCCCGGGCCUUGUACACACCGCCCGUCAAGCCAUGGAAGUUGGGGGUACCUAAAGUAUGUAACCGCAAGGAGCGUCCUAGGGUAAAACCGAUAACUGGGGCUAAGUCGUAACAAGGUAGCCGUACCGGAAGGUGCGGCUGGAAUACCUCCUUUCUGGAG